CGGGUUUGUUAUGCAGGGGCACUAAAUCAGCUUCACAUGCAAAAUCCCAUCUGAAAACUAGGACGGUCUAGGGAGAUGAAUCUGUGGCCCUCCACGCAUGUGGUUGGACUACAACUCCCAUCAUCCCUGACCAUUGGCCAUACUGGCUCGAGGCUGAUGGGAGUUGGGAGUCCAACAAUAUCUCGAGGAGUCCAGUCUGGAAACACAAUUUUCAAGUUACUGAUGUAUGUACCUGUAAAAAGGGAGCUUUCUCACAGCAUGGGAGAGGAUAUAUUUUGACCACCAGAGGCGGCUAGGGUUUGAGGUAGAAAUCCUUAAGGGAGCAGGCUUAAGGAGGGACUGCUGGAAUGGUGUGCUGUUUCGGCAGCACCGUGGAGGUGAGUUGGGUAUGCUCUGGGUUUCUUCACGUCUCUGUCCUCUAAAGAUAGUGGUUUGUUUCCUGGGGAGAAAACCACCAGAUCUGGAUCUGUUGAUGUGCUACAGUCAGCAAGCACUUCCAGCCAUGAAGUGGAUAAGGCCAUCUGCGAUCUGGGGCAGGAAGGGCCCAAUCACGCGAUGUGGGCAUGAACUUCCUGUUCUGAGUACAGCUCAGGCAGGGUUGAGAGGCCCAGAGUUCAGCAGAUCUAGAAGCUGGGAGGGUGGUUCACAGUAGGGGCAGUGGUGACUGGUAAAGUGGGAGCCCAGUAAUGGGUGGAGCCACAGUUCAUGGCAGUCAGAGCCAACCGAUUCAGUUCUAGUUUUGUCCCAGUCUUCUCCCUCCACACAGCGGAGUUCUGCAAGGGCAGCCUUGGCACUGAGGAGGGGGAAACCCGCACCCCCGCCGGCUGUAUGCAAGAAGGCAGGCAGGUGGGGGCUGGCUGAAGGCAGACAGAGAUUGGUGAGGCAAUGCCCCAAUGGCUCUGAAGGACCAGCUUCCGUUGAAUAUAGGCCCUUUGGACAAGGGUGGGCAACCUUUCUUCUGUCAAGGACCGCAUUCCCUCAGGGGACAUUGGUCACGAACCGAAACAGGGCUGGAACCUACUCCUUUUCUCUCUCUCUCUCUCUCUCUCUCUCUCUCACACACACACACACACACUCUUCCAUAAAGGACGUAAGGAAAGCCUGCAGGAUCAGGCCAGUGCUGCAUCUAGUCCAGCAUCCUCACAGUGGCCAACCAGAUUCCUGUGGGAAAACAGCAAGCAGGAUUUGAGCACAAGAGCUGUGUCCCUUCCUGUGGCUUCCAUAAAACUGGUAUUCAGAAGCAUUGCUGCCUGCAGCUGUGGAGCCAGAGUAAAGCCAUCGUGGCUAAUAGGCAUCGAUAGCCCUCUCUUCUAAUUCUCUUUUAAAGCCAUCUAGGUUGGGCGCCAUUACUGCCUCGUUUGGGAGCGAGCUCCAUAUCUUGGCGGUGUGAAGAAGUAGCUUCUUUUAUCUGUCUAGCAUUCAGCUUCAGUGUAUGGCCAUGAGUUCUAGUCUUGCGAGAGAGAGGGAGAAAAACACUUCUCUUAUUCACUUAACACACGAGCUUUUAAACUUCUAUCGUGUCACCACUUAGUCGCCUUUUCUCUGAACCAAAACAGUCCCAAACGCUGCAACCUCUCUCGUAGGGGAGUUCCUCCAUUGCCUUGAUCAUGUAUCGGUUGCUGAACCGUUUCCAACUCUACAAUAUCCUUUUCGAGGUUCUCUCUCUCCCCCACCCACCUUCUCUUAAAUUUCUGUAGUAGGCCACAUUCCAGCCACACAAGCCAGGGGUUUCUCCGAUCCAUACGUAGGAGAGAGCAAGAUAUGUUCUCAACAGUUCAGGGAAACUUUCCAGCCAAGCAGAACCACUUGAGGAGGAUGCAAAACAGGCCUGGUGAAGAAUUGUCCCUUGAGGAGAUUUCCACAGGCCAGGCAGAGAAGCCUGGAGGACUGAAGUUGUUCCUUGUGCAUGAGAUCCCCCCCCCAAUGGCUUUGGGGUUUGUUUCUCAUCCUAUGUUUUCUUUCUUUAUACCCAGCCCUUCCUCCCCAUGGCACAGCAAACAGACGUGAUCUAAAAAUGGAAACCAAACGAAAAACAACAACAUUCUAAAACGGAUUGAAAGCGGGUUUUGCGUUUACCACAACAAAAUGGGGGAGGAAACCAGCGCACCCAAUAGCCACAUAAAAGUAUGACGUGGCUCUUAAUGCUAAAAAUGCACGGAUGCUGCUGUUGUCUCUUGUGGUGUAAGGGGGGGGGAGGGAUAUCUCCCUAAGACUGUGAGGGUUUUCAGCAUGGUUGGAGGGAAGGGAAGCUGGUACAGUGGUACCUCGGGUUAAGUACUUAAUUCGUUCCAGAGGUCGGUUCUUAACCUGAGACUUCUUAACCUGAAGCACCACUUUAGCUAAUGAGGCCUCCUGCUGCUGCCGCCGCGCCACUGGAGCCCAAUUUCUGUUCUCAUCCUGAAGCAAAGUUCUUAACCUGAAGCACUAUUUCUGCGUUAGCGGAGUCUGUAACCUGAAGCGUAUGUAACUUGAAGCGUAUGUAACCCAAGGUACCACUGUACAUUGAAAGAUCAUUGACUACUGAGGCUAAAGAUUGAUAUACCUUCUCAAGAGAGAAGGGUGAGGGCUUCCUUUUUCUAUCAUAUCAGUCUUCAGCUCACGUCAGAGACAGUUAUUGGUAGCUCUUCGUAUCCUAACAUUUUAAACGGUCACAGCUUCAGUGUCGUGCUACUUUGAGCUGCCAUGCCCUCCUUAAAGAAUCAUGGAAACUAGUUUGUUAGUGGUGCUGAGGGCCAUUGGGAGACACCCCCCCCCGACAUAGAGCUAUAAUUAUCAUAGUGAUUUAAUAGUCAAUCCCUCUCCUCUGGGAGCUCUGAGAGUUGUAGCUCUGGAGGUCAUUUAUGAACUGUAGGACACCCCUGCUCCUAACAGCAGACUUAUAUGGUGACUUAUAUACAGCAGCUAAAAGGGGAGCCACUGAGAGAAAAGUGAAGUAUCAACCUGCUUGGGGGAACCCUGGUGUUCGUAGCAGUACAAAAAUAUUUUUGAAAAAACACUUAAACGGGUAGCCCCACCCCACUUAAAGAACAACAGCAGCCUAAUGAGAACUGAGCAUGCUCAGCUGCCUUGCUGUCUGGAACCCUGAACAGGAGCACUCCUGUUAGGAUGCGAGGAUAUGCACAUUUUGCUGCAGUCUCUCUGAUCAGAACAUAGCUGUUAUAAAUAACUAUCUUCAGUUUUCACCGUAUACUAACCUGUGACCUAAACCGUUUCUUGAUUCUGCCAGAAGUAAUUUACAGCUGGGCACAUACUGAAGUGACGCGCUGAAGAUUUGAAAGCCUUAGGAGUGACACAUCUUCCCAAUCGGUUGCUCUUUUGACCAGAGAGAUUACAGGUAGUAAACUCUUCUUCUCCAGCAUGUUUAUCCAAGGAGGAGUUGCCUUAUAGUGGAAUGGCUGCUAGCCGUCAAUGGCUGUUAUCCACAAUGGCUGUGCAGUAAGGUUUUUGAAUACCAGUUGCUGGAAACCACAGGAGGCGAGAAUGCUCUUGUGCUUAGAUCCUUACAUGUUUCUGAUGGGAAUCCGGUCAGCCACUGUGAGAACAGGAUGCUGGACUAGAUGGGCCUUUGGGCAAUCCAAAAGGUUCUUAUUGUGUUCCUAUGGAAGCUCAUCCAGCUCAGGACUAUGAACAGGACCCUAGGGCCAGGGGGAGGGUCUCAAGCAGGGGACUUUCCAAGCCCUACCCUGUGAAUGUUUUAACACGGCUGAUGCCCAGGAAUGUUCCUAGGACACCAUCACUCUUAACCUGCAAAUCUCUCCUCCCCAAGCUGGUGACUGGCUGGACUUGGUCUCGUCAAAUUGCAGAAGGCACCCACUGGAACAGAGCCUGGUUGGCUUCAAGACGAUGUUCCUGUAUUCAGCCAGUUUCUCUAAAAGACAUUUCUCUUCCUUGCAAGAUGUUCCAAGAACAAAAAAAAAUUAUUGGUGCCCAGGCAUGAAGAGACCAGUGUGUGUGGAUGCACCUAGAGUGGAUCAGAUAUCUUAAGCCUCACAUGCACAGGGAGGUUCAGAAAAAGAAAUUGCUUUGGAAUGACACGAUCACUCCCGCUGAGCGAGCAGACACAAUGGCCACGGGGAUGUCGUGUCUGUCCAAAGCUCUUUCAAGGAUCCCAGCUGGGCCCAUGAAAAAAAUACAGCAGGGUGAACGAGUGAGCAGCUUUUCCAGUCCCAAAGAAGACAUUUCAUGCAAUGUCAUGCGUCUUGUCUAUAGCACAGAUUCACUCAUUCAUUUCAUAGCAUGUCCUCCUUGCACACAGAGUAAAUAGCUGCUUCUAGUUUCUCAAGGGUAUAUUUCCUACAGCUGCAUAAUCUUGCACAGGAAGUGAAAGGAGAAGUGAAUGCAUGAGGUUUCUACCGCACUGGAUCUGGCCCAUGCAAGUUGACAGUCCUUUCAUAUAAAUUAUUGUGUGUGGUACAAGUAUACAUGUGAGAUGUCAUGUGAGUCAUGCUGCGUGUAAGGAGGAAAGGAACUCACAAAUUAGAUGCUCGUUCUUUUAUUUGCAUGCCAAGCCAAAAGGACAUUAAUCUAAGAGCCAAACAGAUAACAUAAUAAACCAACUCCCCAAACAACAGCUCUGCAUCCAAGACUCCUUCCUUAUUCUGGUUGCCGUACAGGCCCAAAUGGGAAUGUUGAUAUAAUUGUUUGCUAAUCAAAGCACAUGUUGUAAAAUAAAAGAUUUUAAAAAAAGAAGUUCUCAGGAACUAGAGGGAAAGAAUCAAGCACAUUUCAAAUGGUUGAACAUGUAAAUAAGUAAUAUAGGUCCUCUGUCAACCUGCAAAUGGUAAGUAAACACACAAAAUUGCUUAGGACUGAAUAUACACAAUUGCUACAGUUUCUGUUAUUAUCUACUCUAGCCAACAUGGUGCCUCCAAAUGUUGGAACUCCAUCUCCCAUCAGCCUCAGCCAGCAAAUUCAGUGAUCAAGGAUGCUGGGAGUUGUGGCCCACAAACAUCUGGAGGAGGUUGAGGAAGGUUAUUGGCAAGGUCCCUCCAGAAUGAUCUUAAGGUGGAGGAUUUCCCUUUAAGACUGGAGAAGUCAGUGAUAGAACCCGGGUCCUUUGUACCUGCAAAACAUGUACUUUACUACUGAGCUAAAGCCUCUCAAUAUUGGCAUAUUUAACUCAGGUCUUCCACUGGAUUAAAAAAGGGUCAAAACUGAAAAGCUGCCACAGAAGUGCAUUUUUCCUUAGCUGGAAGCUUCCAGCGCAGCCUUGCUUGGGGCAUGUCAAUAGAGCCCAAGAACAUUGUCUCGGCUUGCCGUAUGAGCCAUGCCAAAAGCGAUUUAGCAGUCUAGUCCAGUGACUAAGGUUCUGUCAGGUCUCCAGUUGCAUCUGGAAGGACUAGAUGGCUCUAGUUUGGAGAUGAACUGCAUAAUCCCUUGUGUGUUUAUUCGGAGGUAAGCAACGGGUGAGCAUACAUAGGACAAGAUUAACAGGCCUUGAAUCUCGAACUGACAAGGACAUAUUUUAGUGCCCAAGCUACAGAACACCAACAGCCUUGUUGCUUACAAUAGGGUUUCCAGCAGGAGCUUCAGUUCAAGGGGCUAGGCUUGCUGCUGCUGCACCCUUGAUAAUAGUAUUCCCACCUAUCCAUUUCCCCCCAGGCUGGAUGCAAAGCAGCUAAUUUCUGUGGGCAUGCAAUGGAGUGCCAAGGCAACCGUAGUGGGGCUUGGGGGGGGGGGGAUCUUCUGCCACGGCUGACAGUCAGUAGUUGGUCUGGCGUGCGAAGGAAUUCUCAGAUCAUCUCUUGGCUGUGGGUGGUGCAGAGAGUACGGCUCCCCUUUUUAGAUUCUUCCACCUCAACAAAGAGAAGUGGAUGCACCAGGGUGUCGAAUGAGAACGGGUUUUGAGAUGCUGAUGUGAGGUGUGUUGUGCUCUCUGCUGAGAAAUAAAACAUGCAACUGCACCAAAAAAAGGGAAAGAUUGAAUUCUGACUUGUUGAUUACUCAGAUCCAAUCAAAAUUACACGUGCCCUUUGUUUGAAUAAUGAACACUUACAGCAGAGGGUAGGGGAUCUCAGGCCAGGGAAUGGUUGGAUGUGACGCUCCAGGCCCCCUAGACCCUCCCCAGGCCACACUCCAUUGCUGUCUCUGCUUCAAGGUCUCCUUGAGGGCUCACAUGGACAAGAGGAUGGAGAAAUUAAGGCACAGAAGCCUCUCAAGGUUUGCAUAGCUAGAAAUGUAGCCUACUGCACCUAUCCAUUCUUAAGGAAAUCAGCCCUGAGUGCUCACUGGAAGGACAGAUCGUGAAGCUGAGGCUCCAAUACUUUGGCCACCUCAUGAGAAGAGAAGACUCCCUGGAAAAGACCCUGAUGCUGGGAAAGAUGGAGGGCACAAGGAGAAGGGGACAACAGAGGACGAGAUGGUUGGACAGUGUUCUCGAAGCUACCAGCAUGAGUUUGACCAAACUGCGGGAGGCAGUGGAGGACAGAAGUGCCUGGCGUGCUCUGGUCCAUGGGGUCACGAAGAGUCGGACACGACUAAACGACUAAACAACAACAACAAGCACAUAUGAAAGAGUCGUAUCCAUUGUCCUGCCCACUUUUGCCUCUGGUGCUGCCCACCACUCGCCUGCAGCUCCCAGAAGGCUGCCCACAAAGGGAUGCAGCCCUUGGGCCAGAGAAGGUCUCCUUCCCUGCUUUAAUGUGUAGGACUGUAGUCUCAAGAGCUGAAAAUUACAUUCAAAGAAAGAAAGAAGAGCGAGCAAGCAAACUCAGGUUACUGAAUGCUGUGGUUUUAAUGUGCUUAUGCAGGGCUCAGCAAACUUUUUCGGCAGGGGGCUGGUCCACUGUCCCUCAGACCUUAUGGGGGGCCGGACUAUAUUUUUUGGGGGGGGAAUGAUGCAAGAGCCCCAUGAGCCCCAGUGGCUGCUUACCUGUGUCUUGUGAGCGACAGGCUGGCGGCGGCGGGGGGACGAUGAGCAAUGUGCGAAAGGGCUCUAGAGAGGGGCUGCUUAAAAUGGCCGCCACUCGAGCACUGCUGCUGCUGGCACCAACAAAGCCUGUCCACCUUCCUCCUCUAGGCAGGGCGGGGAGAAGUCAGGAGGGAGGGGGAGGUGCCACGGUGCCAUGAGAGGGAGAGGGAAAGAAUGUGCGUGCUGGUGAUCCACGCGGCAAUUCCCGGACCGUCUGUGGGCCAGAUCCAGAAGGCAAUUGGGCCUGAUCUGGCCCGUGGACCUUAGUUUGCCGACCAUAUGCUUAUGUGAAAGCGGGCUGAGGCAUUAUCUUUAUCCUUUUUCAAAUAAACAUAGGUUUCAUAGACUCAUAGGGCCAAGGGCUUCUUGGAGGUCAUCAAGUCCAACCCUCUCUGCCAAUGGAGGAAACAACUUCAGUAUCCACUGGUAUUCAGCCUCUGCUUAAAGCUGCCCAGCAAAGGAGAGCCUACCACCUCCUAAGGCACUUUGUUCUUCUGUCCAACAGCUCUGGCUGUUAGGAAGUUUUGCCUAAUGUUGAGGUGAAAUCUGUUUCCCUGUGAUUUCUACCCAGUUGGUAUUCAGCUAAGUGGACCCACUGGCCCCAACUUAGUCGCUAAGUGCAAAAAUUCAUUUUGCAUACAUGGUUAAGUUUUUAAAGAGGAACCCCAUGUAGCCAGAACAGUGCAAGAAAGAGAAAAAAAAACAGAGAGAAAGAUGUCUGUUUAGAUCAAAGAGCCUUCUCUGGCAUAAUCUAAUCUUCUUUCCCGUGUAGCUGAUAAUGAGGAAGGUUUAACUCAACUCUGCAUCUCUCAUUCACAGAUGUGAAAACAAAGUUGGAAGAUACAGUUUGUGGAGAAUCAGGGUCCAAAUAUUCUCUCUGAUGUUUUCACCUUGCAUGCUGUUAAAGCAAGACAUAUAUGCCCCCAAUAAAUAUGUGU
Podarcis lilfordi (Lilford's wall lizard) is the source of this 7848-nucleotide non-coding RNA. NCBI's taxonomy places the organism in Eukaryota, Metazoa, Chordata, Lepidosauria, Squamata, Lacertidae. The record is from the annotation of a GenBank genome assembly.